UACAGAGGUCUCAAGCGUUGUUCGGAUUCAUUGGGCGUAAAGGGCGCGUAGGCGGCGGGGUAAGUCGGGUGUGAAAUCUCAGAGCUCAACUCUGAAACUGCACUCGAUACUGCUCUGCUUGAGGACUGGAGAGGAGACUGGAAUUCACGGUGUAGCAGUGAAAAUGCGUAGAUAUCGUGAGGAAGACCAGUGGCGAAGGCGGGUCUCUGGACAGUUCCUGACGCUGAGGGCGCGAA
This 236-nucleotide ribosomal RNA is filed under the name uncultured bacterium. RNAcentral's name for it is "partial 16S ribosomal RNA". It matches the Rfam family "Bacterial small subunit ribosomal RNA", at positions 524 to 757 of the family's 1533-position model. The record is from RNAcentral.